Small nucleolar RNA from Echinops telfairi (small Madagascar hedgehog), 131 nucleotides. Lineage: Eukaryota; Metazoa; Chordata; Mammalia; Afrosoricida; Tenrecidae. The record is from Ensembl.
UGGACAUUUAUUUUUCAUUCCGUUUCUUCUCCAGGUGAAGAUAACGCUUUAUAAAUGUCCUAGAGAAAUAGAGUAGGCUUCUGUCCACCCUUUGCCAGUCAAAAGGGUGGCUCGUUCCACUACUGACAUUU